Protopterus annectens (West African lungfish) is the source of this 499-nucleotide long non-coding RNA. RefSeq lists it as uncharacterized. Lineage: Eukaryota; Metazoa; Chordata; Ceratodontiformes; Protopteridae. The record is from RefSeq and is a predicted model, not a curated record. The transcript is spliced from 3 exons.
ACAUUUGGAGAGGAGGUUUGGCUUCAGUGAAAAAAUGAUUCUGUCAUGUUCUGAAGAUUAUACUCUGCAUUUCAACCUUUAUGCCAGCUGGGAGGAUAAAAACGUUAUUGAAAUGAUGCUUCUUCAAGCAGAAGAAAGAGAACAAUAGUGGGACUUAGUUUGUGAGAAGAAAGGAUUAAACCAGGCUGCAGCAACCUUUUUCUUCAUUGGAGUAACAGUUGGAGCACUUGUCUUUGGUUCACUGUCUGACAGGUUUGGCCGGAGGACAAUUCUUCUAUUGACAUUCGUACUUUCCACAGUCUCUGGGGUCAUGGCUGCAUUUUCCAACUCGUAUGCAAUGUUUGCCUCAAUGAGAGCUAUUUCUGGAAUUUCUCUUGCAGGGACAGGAAACCUCUGCAUGACUCUAAGUAUUUUGUUUAAUUUCUUCCUGGAAUUCAUGUUAAAGUUUAAAUGAUUAGGACAUAUUUCAAGCAGGUAUAUGGAAUGCUGUUGUUGAACA